Non-coding RNA from Hamiltosporidium tvaerminnensis, 72 nucleotides. The record is from the annotation of a GenBank genome assembly. Lineage: Eukaryota; Fungi; Microsporidia; Dubosqiidae.
GCUCUAGUGGCGCAAUGGUAGCGCGUUUGACUUCUAAUCAAAAGGUUCCGAGUUCGAGUCUCGGCUGGAGCG